GCUCGAUGCUCCCUUUCCUUCCCAUCCCAAAGUGGCACAGUCCCGCUCCAGGACAUUCCCUGCUCACACCCUCUGGGUCACGCUGGGAUAGGAAGCUGAUGGCUGGAGGUGUUGGAGCUCCCUAAUUGCCUUGAGCAAGCGAAUUGGUAGGAACACAACACAGGAGAUGUGGUGUCUCGGCAAAGGGAUUGUGCUCGGCUCCGAGGGGAUGGGGCAGCGCUCCCGUGUCCCAGGGGAUGUUUGGCCCAGGUGAGGGGAUGAAGGUUCUUGGGACCACACAUCCCUCACUUGGGCUGGAGGAGAGCAGUGUGCCCUGAAGCUUUCCCCAAACACAUCCCACAUCUUUCCAUGACUCGGUCUUUUCCGGGGUGUUUAUCAAGAACAAUCCCCGGCUGAUGGAGAGCUCAGAUCCCACGGGAUCAGGCCUCAGACACCAGCAGGUUCCCUCUGUUGCCUCUGUUACUAACUCUGUGUUUCCCCUGCUGUUGCUUAACCCCAUUAAUGGGAUCUGAGCUGGUUCAAAGCCUCUGCAGCAGCAGGGGGGAAAGCUCAGAGCAAUAAGUGGAGGCGACCUCUGCCAAAUUGGAGCAAGACUUGCCUUCCUCCUGCUGCCCAAACAGCCCACAGCAUUUUCCCAUUAAACCUCGGUGCCCAGAGUUAUUGGGGAAGAAGAAAGAGCCAGGAGCAGCCCCUUCUGCAUGGAACCAGGGUGAAAACCUUCUGGGUCUGGGGGUGAGGGCUCAGCACCUACACCUACACCUGGGGGAGGAUGUUCCUGCGGGGAUCACUCAGAGAACCAAGAGCCCAGGAUUUGAAGCCUAUUGGAAAGUCCUGAUCUCAGCCUGUAGAAGAGGAUGAGGAUGAGGAUGAGGAUGAGGAUGAGGAUGAGGAUGAGGAUGAGGAUGAGGAUUUCUCCCUCCCAUGGCUCCAGAGCCCAGCAGAGGCUCAUGUUCUCCCCAUUACCCUACUCCAUGUCCCCAUCCCAGGUGUGGUGAUGGCAGAAGGUGGGAGGUGAGUGCUGUGCCCUCCCCAAACAAGCAAUCCCUGGGGUAACCCCCGAAAUUCC
This 1066-nucleotide long non-coding RNA is filed under the name Cyanistes caeruleus (blue tit). RNAcentral's name for it is "lncRNA (ENSCCEG00000006461.1)". Lineage: Eukaryota; Metazoa; Chordata; Aves; Passeriformes; Paridae. The record is from RNAcentral.